UGCGGAAGGAUCAUUAUUGAAUAAACCUGAUGUGAUUGUUAGCUGGCUUUUCGAAGCAUGUGCUCAUCCGUCAUCUUUAUCUCUCCACCUGUGCACAUUUUGUAGUCUUGGAUACCUCUCGAGGAAACUCGGAUUUUAGAAUCGCUGUGCUGUACAAGUCGGCUUUUCUUUCAUUUCCAAGACUAUGUUUUUAUAUACACCAAAGUAUGUUUAUAGAAUGUCAUCAAUGGGAACUUGUUUCCUAUAAAAUUAUACAACUUUCAGCAACGGAUCUCUUGGCUCUCGCAUCGAUGAAGAACGCAGCGAAAUGCGAUAAGUAAUGUGAAUUGCAGAAUUCAGUGAAUCAUCGAAUCUUUGAACGCACCUUGCGCUCCUUGGUAUUCCGAGGAGCAUGCCUGUUUGAGUGUCAUUAAAUUCUCAACCUUCCAACUUUUAUUAGCUUGGUUAGGCUUGGAUGUGGGGGUUGCGGGCUUCAUUAAUGAGGUCGGCUCUCCUUAAAUGCAUUAGCGGAACUUUUGUGACCGUCUAUUGGUGUGAUAAUUAUCUACGCCGUGGAUGUGAAGCAGCUUUAUGAAGUUCUGCUUCUAACCGUCCAUUGACUUGGACAAUUUUGAUAAUUUGACCUCAAAUCAGG
This 634-nucleotide ribosomal RNA is filed under the name Laccaria bicolor. Its description in RNAcentral is "eukaryotic LSU rRNA". The stretch from base 256 to 409 matches the Rfam family "5.8S ribosomal RNA". The record is from RNAcentral. Lineage: Eukaryota; Fungi; Basidiomycota; Agaricomycetes; Agaricales; Hydnangiaceae.